Non-coding RNA from Lupinus albus (white lupine), 498 nucleotides. NCBI's taxonomy places the organism in Eukaryota, Viridiplantae, Streptophyta, Magnoliopsida, Fabales, Fabaceae. The record is from the annotation of a GenBank genome assembly.
AAAUGGGGCAAAUGGUAGUGUUGGGAUAAGACCCAUAAUUGUAAGGGCAAGAACAAAAGGCUUUGGUGAGAGUUGAGAGCUGAACAUGGGUUUCAAUGCCAAUGAUGGGUUCAUAGUUUUUUAGGACUUUGUCAAGUUUUUUGGACUGUGUACUUGUUGCUGAAGCUGAAGCUGAAACCUUUUUGGUUUGUGUUUGUGGGUUUUGGUUUUUGUGUGUUUUGGAUUGUGUAGUUGUGAAGAAUAAAACCCCAUUUGUUCUGAAAAUUGUGGAAGCCAUUUUAGGAGUUAUAUUAGAAAAGUGGGAAAUAAUGAUAAGAAAAAACGAAUUUUGAAGCCAAAUUUGUUCUCUUUCACUGAAAAAUGAAGAGAUUAUGAAAUAUCAAUCUGCAUUUUUUCAACUUGAAUAUAAUGAUAGUGGGAGGCUAGUGAGUAAUGUAUGCGCUUUGGGCUAACGAGGGAAGAUGAAGGUGAUAAAUCAUCAACGGCGUCGUUAUGAAU